GGAGAGAUGGCCGAGCGGUUCAAGGCGUAGCAUUGGAACUGC
RNAcentral lists this transfer RNA (42 nucleotides) under Thinopyrum elongatum. Its description in RNAcentral is "partial tRNA-Ser". The record is from RNAcentral. Lineage: Eukaryota; Viridiplantae; Streptophyta; Magnoliopsida; Poales; Poaceae.